UAGACCUGUCUGGAAUAGUUCACAAACUAGGUUAAAGCCAAUAGUGCAUUUAAGUGUUAAUUCAAUGGAACUUCAGAAUGUUCUUAAGCUUGUGUAGAUGUCAUUGUGAACAGAGCAGCUUUUCUAAAUUCUUAUCCAUCAAAGCGAAUUAAGAUGCAACAGGUUAAAAAAAAAUAAAAUCUGUUGUCGCUGAUAACCCAAUAUUCAGAGUCUGGGCAGGUGAUACAAGCCAUGUGGCUGUUGUUCUCAUGUGUGUGAAAUCUUCCUUGGUUGCAAAGGAAGAAGUACAGAGUAAAAACAACAGUAAGAAUAUUAAAUUCUCAGUCUGGCCCUAUCUUUGCAGUGUGUGUGUUGACUCAGUGAAGCACCGUCCCCCUGCUUCCCUCCAGGAUAAGAGUAUGACUGACUUUAAUUGACUUCCAAGUUGUUUUUAUCUUUAGUGUACAUGCAACUGUAGUGAGUUCUCUUGUUCAAGAUGUGCUGGUUACAUGAGUGAAUUCUGCUCAGAAUCUGUCUUCUUUUCAGGGAACAAGAGAGCGCCAUUCUCCCUGUACCUCCAGCGUGCAGCCCUGUCCUAGAGAGGUGUCGGGAACUUAGUCACCGGCUUCUGAAGUGGUCAGCAAAUAUUGGAUGAAUUUGUUUUCUUAAGAAGUAGAACAGUAACGGCCAGAUCACAGUGUGCUGCCUGGCUAGAUACAAGCUCUAGCUUAUCAAAGACUGUGGAAUUUGGAGGCAGCACCCAAGACCAGCAUCCUGGUGCUCCUGUUUACAUCCAUGCAGAAUGGAAGGUUACCAGCACUGAACAGAAAUGCCUGUCAUUUUGUGUUCGUAUGAAAGCUAGUCCCAGAAACCAAACCGAGCUGUAAGGAAGAUGUUGUGAUCUUCAGAAGGUUGGAGACGAUCUAUUACAUGUGCAAGUGGCCAGUAUUUCUGUCCACCAAUUCCUAUUACCAAGCAGACUUGACUAGAGAAAUGAGGCCUGGUUCCAGUCUUCAGCUUAUAAUCCAGAGUUCAUACCUUCUGUGCAGCAUCGUCAGGCCACAGCAAAACAAGCAGUGACUCGGGGCACUGUUUGUGGAGUUCUGUUCUAAAAGCUGAAACUGUAUUCGGAUUAGUAUAGGCAGGUCAUGUAAAUAGAGGUAACUCUACCAGGGAUAUUUAAAGGCUCCUCUAUACCUGUCAGCUACUCAAAAUAGGUGUAAUUUGUACCUCAUUUGAAUUGUCACCAGAAGCCUCGUGUAUGUUCAUAAGAAGUACAGGAAAUGGUAGGCUAUGUCUGUGCAGCCUUAUGUCCAAUAGCAGUACAUGUUCCUCCUAGCUGUGGCGGCUGGCACAGUAGCUUAUAGGAAUAGUAGGAGAAAUGCGUAUCUUUCCCUGGAAUGUGAAUUGAAUCUACAGUUAUUCUGGAGACUUUGACUUCUUUUCUCUUCUUCAAAUAUUUUUGAAGGGGAAUUAUACUUACACCUUUCUGCUACGCAGCAUUUCCUUAGAUUAAAAUUAGAAUUGCUAAGAUACCAUGGAAAAUGUUAUUCUAGCCUAAAUGUUUGUA
Cygnus olor (mute swan) is the source of this 1549-nucleotide long non-coding RNA. RefSeq lists it as uncharacterized. NCBI's taxonomy places the organism in Eukaryota, Metazoa, Chordata, Aves, Anseriformes, Anatidae. The transcript has 4 exons. The record is from RefSeq and is a predicted model, not a curated record.